UGUGUGUGUGUGUGUGUGUGUGUGUCUGUGUGUACUUCUCCAGAGGCUCCUGACACUGCUCAUACAAAUAGUUUAUUCAACUCGACAAACAGCACUAGUACCACCUCAACCACAGACAGACAGACAGGUUCAGCAGACAGACAGGUAUAGAGACAGACAGGUACAGCAGACAGACAGACAGAUAGACAGGUUCGGCAGACAGACAGGUUCAGCAGACAGACAGGUCAGUGUGUUUGUGUCUCUGAGACAUGAAGCAGAACUCUCAGGAAUGUUUCUGUCACUGUAAACUAAACAUCG
Molecule: long non-coding RNA, 297 nt
Organism: Labrus mixtus (cuckoo wrasse)
Lineage: Eukaryota; Metazoa; Chordata; Actinopteri; Labriformes; Labridae
Exons: 3
Source: RefSeq, a predicted model, not a curated record